This 29-nucleotide non-coding RNA is filed under the name Mus musculus (house mouse). The record is from RNAcentral. Lineage: Eukaryota; Metazoa; Chordata; Mammalia; Rodentia; Muridae.
UUGGGAAUGGUGAUCCGAAGCAUUCCAGA